AGGACUGCAGUUUGUCAGAGAUCAGCUGUAAACAUCUGUUCUCUGCCCUGAAGUCCAACCCGUCCCAUCUGACAGAACUGAACCUGAGUGACAACAACGACCUGAAAGAUGGUGGAGUGAAGGAGCUCUGUGGUUUCCUCCAGACUCCCCUCUGCAAACUACAGACACUGAGAUUGUGGAGCUGCAGUUUGUCAAAGAUCAGCUGUGAACAUCUGGUAACGGCGCUGAAGUCAAACCCGUCCCAUCUGACAUUACUGGACCUGACCUACAACGACCUGAAGGAGUCAGAUGUUCAGCAGCUGCAGGAUCUUGUAAAGAGUCCAGACUACAAACUGAAAACUCUGAGGAGGUGAUGAUCUUAGUGGAGGAGAGAAGCUGAGCUGUCCUGAUGAUCCAGAGGUUGAAGCUGCAGCAGUUUGACUUUAAAGAGACUCUGACUGGAUCCUGAUGAUGAACUCUGACCUUAGAGAUGU
This is a long non-coding RNA of Fundulus heteroclitus (mummichog), 473 nucleotides long. RefSeq lists it as uncharacterized. Lineage: Eukaryota; Metazoa; Chordata; Actinopteri; Cyprinodontiformes; Fundulidae. The transcript has 3 exons. The record is from RefSeq and is a predicted model, not a curated record.